RNAcentral lists this ribosomal RNA (1309 nucleotides) under Nonlabens arenilitoris. Its description in RNAcentral is "bacterial SSU rRNA". It matches the Rfam family "Bacterial small subunit ribosomal RNA", at positions 19 to 1326 of the family's 1533-position model. The record is from RNAcentral. Lineage: Bacteria; Pseudomonadati; Bacteroidota; Flavobacteriia; Flavobacteriales; Flavobacteriaceae.
AUGGCUCAGGAUGAACGCUAGCGGCAGGCCUAACACAUGCAAGUCGAGGGGUAACAGAGAGAGCUUGCUCUUUGCUGACGACCGGCGCACGGGUGCGUAACGCGUAUACAAUCUGCCUAUCACUGAGGGAUAGCCCGAAGAAAUUUGGAUUAAUACCUCAUAGUAUUAUAGAAUCGCAUGGUUUUAUAAUUAAAGGUUACGGUGAUAGAUGAGUAUGCGUCCUAUUAGCUAGAUGGAGAGGUAAAGGCUCCCCAUGGCUACGAUAGGUAGGGGUCCUGAGAGGGAGAUCCCCCACACUGGUACUGAGACACGGACCAGACUCCUACGGGAGGCAGCAGUGAGGAAUAUUGGACAAUGGGCGCAAGCCUGAUCCAGCCAUGCCGCGUGUAGGAAGACGGCCCUAUGGGUUGUAAACUACUUUUAUACGGGAAGAAACCUAUCCUCGUGAGGGUAGCUGACGGUACCGUAAGAAUAAGCACCGGCUAACUCCGUGCCAGCAGCCGCGGUAAUACGGAGGGUGCAAGCGUUAUCCGGAAUCAUUGGGUUUAAAGGGUCCGUAGGCGGGCUAAUAAGUCAGUGGUGAAAUGCAGGGGCUCAACUCCGGCACUGCCAUUGAUACUGUUAGUCUUGAAUUAUUGUGAAGUGGUUAGAAUAUGUAGUGUAGCGGUGAAAUGCUUAGAUAUUACAUAGAAUACCGAUUGCGAAGGCAGAUCACUAACAAUAUAUUGACGCUGAUGGACGAAAGCGUGGGUAGCGAACAGGAUUAGAUACCCUGGUAGUCCACGCCGUAAACGAUGGUUACUAGCUGUUUGGACGAAUUGACGUCUGAGUGGCCAAGCGAAAGUGAUAAGUAACCCACCUGGGGAGUACGUUCGCAAGAAUGAAACUCAAAGGAAUUGACGGGGGCCCGCACAAGCGGUGGAGCAUGUGGUUUAAUUCGAUGAUACGCGAGGAACCUUACCAGGGCUUAAAUGUAGUAUGACAGAUUUGGAAACAGAUUUUUCUUCGGACAUAUUACAAGGUGCUGCAUGGUUGUCGUCAGCUCGUGCCGUGAGGUGUCAGGUUAAGUCCUAUAACGAGCGCAACCCCUAUUGCUAGUUGCCAGCGAGUCAAGUCGGGGACUCUAGCGAGACUGCCGGUGCAAACCGUGAGGAAGGUGGGGAUGACGUCAAAUCAUCACGGCCCUUACGUCCUGGGCCACACACGUGCUACAAUGGUAGGGACAGAGAGCAGCCACCACGCGAGUGGGAGCGAAUCUAUAAACCCUAUCACAGUUCGGAUCGUAGUCUGCAACUCGACUACGUGAAGC